CCUACGGGUGGCAGCAGUGGGGGAUAUUGCACAAUGGGCGCAAGCCUGAUGCAGCGACACCGCGUGAGCGAAGAAGUAUUUCGGUAUGUAAAGCUCUAUCAGCAGGGAAGAAAAUGACGGUACCUGACUAAGAAGCCCCGGCUAACUACGUGCCAGCAGCCACGGUAAUACGUAGGGGGCUAGCGUUAUCCGGAAUUACUGGGCGUAAAGGGUGCGUAGGUGGUUUCUUAAGUCAGAGGUGAAGGGCUACGGCUCAACCGUAGUAAGCCUUUGAAACUGGGGAACUUGAGUGCAGGAGAGGAGAGUGGAAUUCCUAGUGUAGCGGUGAAAUGCGUAGAUAUUAGGAGGAACACCAGUUGCGAAGGCGGCUCUCUGGACUAUAACUGACACUGAGGCACGAAAGCGUGGGGAGCAAACAGGAUUAGAUACCCUUGUAGUC
RNAcentral lists this ribosomal RNA (439 nucleotides) under uncultured bacterium. RNAcentral describes it as "partial 16S ribosomal RNA". It matches the Rfam family "Bacterial small subunit ribosomal RNA", at positions 338 to 795 of the family's 1533-position model. The record is from RNAcentral.